RNA transcript from Hibiscus syriacus, 1746 nucleotides. It is a transcript of the gene named protein FLX-like 3, with no coding region annotated. Lineage: Eukaryota; Viridiplantae; Streptophyta; Magnoliopsida; Malvales; Malvaceae. The record is from RefSeq and is a predicted model, not a curated record. The transcript has 6 exons.
AUUGUUUUUCUUUCAGUAACAUUAACUGAAACUUAGGACUCGGAUGUUUCCAAGACAGAGUUUCUUUCUUCUUCUUUUUUUUUGGGUUGUUAGCUUUUGCUUAAUUCUCUGUUUGGUUGUGAAGGUAAACGGUUCUGAAGCAAAGAGACGUAGUGAGAUCCCCCCACUCAAUUUGCUCGAGUACGGAGAUAAAUAAUAAUUGAAAAUGGUUGGGAGAAACCGCGUUCGUCGAGAAGCCUUCAAUGACCAGCGCGGAUUUCCUCCUGAAAGACCUUUCCACCGUGGUCCACCUCUGCCACAUCGACCUCCUCAUCCUGCAUUGUUGGAGGAAGAACUUGAAAUGCAGCAUGCAGAGAUUCGGAGGCUUUUGAGUGAUAACAGCAGGCUUGUAGAAGAUCGAAUGGCUAUACAACAAGAGCUUGGUGCUGCGAAAGAUGAAAUUCAUCAUUUGAAUCUUGUCAUUGGUGAAAUUCGUGCUGAACAAGAGCUGCACUCAAGGGGACUCAUUGAUAAAGGCUUGAAGCUGGAGGCAGAUCUCCGUGCAACUGAGCCAUUGAAGAAGGAGGCUGUGCAACUCCGUGCAGAAGUUCAGAAACUGAAUAAUGUUAAGCAGGGACUGGCUGGCCAAGUGCAGACUCUCAAGCAAGAUAUUGCCAGGCUGCAAGCUGGUAAUCAACAAAUAUCUGUUUUAAGAGCAGAAAUUGAUGGCCUGCACCAGGAGUUGGUGCGUUCGAGGAAUGCCAUUGAUUAUGAAAAGAAGGCAAAUAUUGAGCUGAUGGAGCAGAGACAAGCAAUGGAGAAGAACAUGGUCUCCAUGGCACAUGAAGUUGAAAAGCUGCAUGCAGAACUUACCAUUGUGGAUGGUGGACCAUAUGGAAUGAAAUUCAACAGUUCAGAGGGGGCUUUUCCUGCUUCAUAUGAAGGAUAUGGGGCUCAUCUGGUUGCUGCUGAUAAGGGUCCUUUUCAUGGUCCUCGUCCUGGGACUUGGGAGAAGCCUCUUAAUACUCGUCGCUAGGAGAGUUUUUGCUUGAUGGAAGAAAGGCAAAAUUGUUGCUCUGUUCUGAAGUGCAAAAUAUUGGCCAGCAUGGAACUCAUCAUCUAUGUGUGCAUGCUACAUAAAUGGGGGAUCUGGUAUGCAUCAUCCAUAAAGUGAAGAAAGAACAUGUAGUAACCUUACAUGAGAUUGAGGACGUAUGAUGAAUGAGGUAAAGUUUCAUUCGCUUCUAGACAAACAUGAAGAAAAUAAUAAUUAAAAAAGAACCCUCUUUCCGAAUGUGAGUGUGAAAUUGAUAUUCAUGCAUAAAUCUUAAAGGUGCUGCAAGUCGAUGAGACAGUUACUCUCCUCUUGGCCCCAAGACAAGUGUUUAUAGGCUAAACUUAGACAUACUCGGAAGUGACUUUCAGCCAAGUCCAUGUGGUCUGCUAGGCUAAAGUUCCAAGCCUGUGAAAAUCAGGUUUGUAAGUUAUUCUCCUAAUCCUAGGCGUAGGCUACACUAUAUCAACCAUCUCUGUUUUACCUUCUCAUUCCCAGGUCUCCUGCAAUCUCUAGUAAUGGCAUGAUUUUGACAUUGCAAUUCCUGGGUAUGAUCAUUGAUAAACCAAUUAGGUUUGCAUACAAGCUUGUUUUAGUUAAGCUAAGAUUUCCAUAAAAUGUCUCUCAGUCUUGCUAAUAAUAAAUCAAUAAAAAACAAGGUUCAUACUGAUAAAAUCUAGGGUUCGUUUAGUUUCAAGAAACGGGUCAUUUUC